UUAUCGGAGAGUUUGAUCCUGGCUCAGGACGAACGCUGGCGGCGUGCCUAAUACAUGCAAGUCGAGCGGACAGAUGGGAGCUUGCUCCCUGAUGUUAGCGGCGGACGGGUGAGUAACACGUGGGUAACCUGCCUGUAAGACUGGGAUAACUCCGGGAAACCGGGGCUAAUACCGGAUGUUUGUUUGAACCGCAUGGUUCA
This 200-nucleotide ribosomal RNA is filed under the name Bacillus velezensis. RNAcentral's name for it is "partial 16S ribosomal RNA". It matches the Rfam family "Bacterial small subunit ribosomal RNA", at positions 1 to 197 of the family's 1533-position model. Lineage: Bacteria; Bacillati; Bacillota; Bacilli; Caryophanales; Bacillaceae. The record is from RNAcentral.